Long non-coding RNA from Canis lupus familiaris (dog), 2190 nucleotides. RefSeq lists it as uncharacterized. The transcript has 2 exons. Lineage: Eukaryota; Metazoa; Chordata; Mammalia; Carnivora; Canidae. The record is from RefSeq and is a predicted model, not a curated record.
CAUGGUUAGGUUUUUGUAAAUAUACAUAAUUCAGUCACCUCUUGAUCUUGUUGAUGGAUUAAUUUAGUAAUUGUGUUUCUUGUGCUUCGAGAAAUUUUGUCAUUAGGCUCAGGGUGCUUGGAAAAGUAAGUUCUAGGGGUUCCUGGGGAGCUCAAUGGUUGAGCAUCUACUUUUGGCUCAGGUCGUGAUCCCAGGGUCCUGGAGUGGAAUCCCGCAUCAGGCACCUUGCAGGGAGCCUGUUUCUCCCUCUGCCUAGGACUCUGCCUCUCUCUCUGUGUCUCUCAUGAAUAAAUAAAUAAAAAUAUUUAAAUAAAAAAGGAAAAGUAAGUUCUAUUAGCUAGACUCACAAAUAUUUACAUAGCAUCCAUUAGAUGAAUAUGUAGAAUGAAGAACUUAAAUGCUUAAUAAAUAAGUGAAUAAUAUAAAUGCAGAGCCUCUUUAAUCAAGUAACUAACAAUUUCUUUGUGGAAAGAAUCCAUGAAUAUUUGAAUAAUAAUAAUAAUAAUACAUGAGGCUUUGAAGUCCACAGUGAUGCAAGAGGGAAAUGACAGUAGCUUGCAACAGCAGAAGAAAGGGACAAAGGAAGAUUAUAAGCAGGUGCCAUACAAAACUGACAACACUGUCUCCAGAAAAGGGAGAUGCCGUGGACUGGAAUAAACUGGGAGCGAGCAGCAUCUGAUCUAAGUCUAGACAGUUUAAGGGCACAUUUUUUUUUAAAGAUUUUGUAAAAAUGUAUUUAUUCAUGAGAGACACAGAGAGGCAGAGACAUAGGCAGAGGGAGAAGCAAGCUCCCUCUAGGGAGCCUGAUGCAGGACUCGAUCCCAGGACCCUGGGAUCACACCCUGAGGCGAAGGCAGACUCUCAACCACUAAGCCACCCCUGUGUCCCCGAGGGCACAUUUUUUAUGUAGGAAGAAAGGAGAGCUGGAAUCUCUGAAGGGCAAACAGCAUGAACAAUGACCCAGAAGAGCAUUUGCACAAUUGAAUGGUUCAAGGAAGUGAGUAACCAAUGACAGUGGUGGAAAGGCAUGUUGGAGCAGGACUCUCAAGCUGUGAAUGGUGGGCUUAAUCCUGCUGGCGCUGUGGCACUGGCCACAUUUUGGGGUGUGAAAGAGUGACGCUGUACUUCAGGAAAUCAAGAGACCGGAGGCCAGUGAUUGUGACGUAUUCGGGAUGAGGUAAUAGUGCAGGAAACUAUUGUCAUCUAUCACAUGGGCACGGAAGAGAGGUCUGUGAACGUAUCGUGAAAUUCACGUUUUGCCCUAUCAGGACAUGAGAACAUCACACUUCUGCCUCCAGUUUCCGAAUACCUCUUCUUUUGUCUUCUGUGAUCUCUUCUCCCUUGAGAAAAUUCUAAGUGCAUCAGAGUAAGGCAAAUACAGGAAAAAGUAAGUGCAAAUGCCAGACUGAACCCAAGAUCAAGAGGAUUGUGGUUCACUGAUUCUGUGUCCUCAUGGGAGCUAGGUCAGUUCAAGGGCAAGUUAAGACAAACAGGUGGAACCUCUGUGUCCGAGAGCAGAAAUCAAAAACAAACCCAAGGGGCACUGAACAUGCAUUUCUGGUUUACUUUUCACUCUUCUUUCUGCCCUGCCUUUUUGGUAAAUAUGCAUUGUCUUUGUUAAAGUAGUACUGCUUUGCUCCUGCCUUGGAAAGCUCUGGAAGAUAAGCGGAAAAAAGCUGCCAGAUUAGAGGGCCAUAUCUCAAGAAGCCAGACACAGUGGAUUCCACCUUUAAGCUCUUCUCGAAGAUCUGGCUUUCACAUUAUAUAAGGUUCUGGAACUAAUUGCCCUGAGUCCGUUCUUUACCUAGACUGGUUUGAAUGCCAAGCAAAGAGGUCCUACGAAUGUCAGUCCCAAAUUGCUAAGUGACCAGGAAACAUGAGUCCGGCCCCAGUGAGUGACACAUGGGUACCUUCACAAAUAGGGUGACAUCAGGACAGCGAGUAGCCAUCCAAAAUGUUUGAACCUAGUAAAUGGCUAAUGAGAUACUCACUGAGGUUACAAUUUUAAAGACAACUUCUACAAACUUAGGUUUCACAAAUGAAGCUGUAUUCGUUUUUUCUUGCUGCAUAACCAAUUAUUCAAAUAUUCAGCUGCUUAACACAACAAAUAUUUGUUCUCUCCCAGUUUCUGUGCAUCAGAAAUCUGAGCAUGAAAAAAAAAAAAAAGAAAUCUGAGCAUGGCCUAGUUUG